Molecule: unclassified non-coding RNA, 173 nt
Filed under: soil metagenome
Description: partial internal transcribed spacer 1
Source: RNAcentral
UCAAUUAUUACAGGGCUUCGCUGGCCUUACCGCAUGUGCACCCUUGCUUCAUUCAUGCCAGCUACACCGUCUUGCCUCUUCAUAGUUGCUUCUGGGAUUACUCUGCCUUUGCAGGUUGGAAUCAUCAAACUUUGUAGUAGUCCAAUUCUUAGCGUCAUGUAAACCAUAUAAUA